RNAcentral lists this non-coding RNA (28 nucleotides) under Rattus norvegicus (Norway rat). Lineage: Eukaryota; Metazoa; Chordata; Mammalia; Rodentia; Muridae. The record is from RNAcentral.
CUCCCAAGCAAACAUGUCGGCAAGGGUA